UCACUGCGCUUGCGCGCGGACUAUAAAACUCGGGUUCGCACGCUCUUUCUUCCCAGUUCCGUCUUCUUUGUGAGAGUAUGGGGGCUGUUGGACCAUGGCUCUUUCCUAUAGCGCUUACUCCGAUUUUGAUCAUACUGGAGCCUAAUGGAUGACCUGUGGAGUCUCCAAGACUCUUGAGUCUCUUGGAACUCCAAACCCGGAACAAUUCUGUAAUUCAAGAGGAACUUGCACCUUUUUGAAUGGCCACACAAGUAAAACUGAGGUGUUUGAGCACUCUGUGCCGAUGAAGACCCCCCUCAGAGCCAAGUGGCUGAAGUACACAGGCUUUCUCGACGCGGCAAAGGAGAGGAAAGACCUUUCUGAGUCUUAAAGUGGCUUUUAUGACCUAGUCUUCCAACGUGAUGUUUUUAGAGGCUGUUUGAUCCAUUUCUCAGAAUGCUGUCACUAUUGCUUGCAACUUCUAUGCAAGUGUAGGUCUUAUAGCUGGUAGUUGCUGCUUUCUUGUACAAUAAAACUCUUAAACAUCA
Molecule: long non-coding RNA, 527 nt
Organism: Puntigrus tetrazona (Sumatra barb)
Lineage: Eukaryota; Metazoa; Chordata; Actinopteri; Cypriniformes; Cyprinidae
Exons: 5
Source: RefSeq, a predicted model, not a curated record